Molecule: ribosomal RNA, 443 nt
Filed under: uncultured bacterium
Lineage: Bacteria
Description: partial 16S ribosomal RNA
Rfam family: Bacterial small subunit ribosomal RNA
Source: RNAcentral
CCUACGGGGGGCAGCAGUGGGGAAUAUUGGGCAAUGGGCGCAAGCCUGACCCAGCAACGCCGCGUGAAGGAAGAAGGCUUUCGGGUUGUACACUUCUUUUGUCAGGGACGAAGCAAGUGACGGUACCUGACGAAUAAGCCACGGCUAACUACGUGCCAGCAGCCGCGGUAAUAUGUAGGUGGCAAGCGUUAUCCGGAUUUACUGGGUGUAAAGGGCGUGUAGGCGGGGAAGCAAGUCAGAUGUGAAAACCACGGGCUCAACCUGUGGCCUGCAUUUGAAACUGUUUUUCUUGAGUGCUGGGGAGGCAAUCGGAAUUCCGUGUGUAGCGGUGAAAUGCGUAGAUAUACGGAGGAACACCAGUGGCGAAGGCGGAUUGCUGGACAGUAACUGACGCUGAGGCGCGAAAGCGUGGGGAGCAAACAGGAUUAGAUACCCGAGUAGUC